UACAGAGGGGGCAAGCGUUGUUCGGAAUUACUGGGCGUAAAGGGCGCGUAGGCGGCCUGCUAAGUCGAACGUGAAAUCCCUGGGCUCAACCCAGGAACUGCGUCCGAUACUGGUUGGCUUGAAUCCGGGAGAGGGAUGUGGAAUUCCAGGUGUAGCGGUGAAAUGCGUAGAUAUCUGGAGGAACACCGGUGGCGAAGGCGGCAUCCUGGACCAAUACUGACGCUGAGGAGCGAAAGCCAGGGGAGCGAACAGG
Molecule: ribosomal RNA, 253 nt
Filed under: uncultured bacterium
Lineage: Bacteria
Description: partial 16S ribosomal RNA
Rfam family: Bacterial small subunit ribosomal RNA
Source: RNAcentral